Molecule: ribosomal RNA, 496 nt
Filed under: uncultured bacterium
Lineage: Bacteria
Description: partial 16S ribosomal RNA
Rfam family: Bacterial small subunit ribosomal RNA
Source: RNAcentral
ACGAACGCUGGCGGCGUGCCUAAUACAUGCCAGUCGAGCGGACGAAUCGAAAGCUUGCUUUUGAUUCGUUAGCGGCGGACGGGUGAGUAACACGUGGGCAACCUGCCCUGUAGACGGGGAUAACACCGAGAAAUCGGUGCUAAUACCGGAUAACACGAAAUGUCGCAUGACGUUUCGUUGAAAGACGGCGCAAGCUGUCGCUACAGGAUGGGCCCGCGGCGCAUUAGCUAGUUGGUGAGGUAACGGCUCACCAAGGCGACGAUGCGUAGCCGACCUGAGAGGGUGAUCGGCCACACUGGGACUGAGACACGGCCCAGACUCCGACGGGAGGCAGCAGUAGGGAAUCUUCCGCAAUGGACGAAAGUCUGACGGAGCAACGCCGCGUGAGCGAAGAAGGCCUUCGGGUCGUAAAGCUCUGUUGUUAGGGAAGAACAAGUAACGCAGUAACUGGCGUUACCGUGACGGUACCUAACGAGAAAGCCACGGCUAACUACGU